Molecule: ribosomal RNA, 503 nt
Filed under: uncultured bacterium
Lineage: Bacteria
Description: bacterial SSU rRNA
Rfam family: Bacterial small subunit ribosomal RNA
Source: RNAcentral
ACUCAAAGGAAUAGACGGGGACCCGCACAAGCGGUGGAGCAUGUGGUUUAAUUCGACGCAACGCGAAGAACCUUACCAGGGCUUGACAUCCCCCGCUAGCCGUGGAAACGCGGUGUUUGGCCUUUCGGGGCCAACGGGGAGACAGGUGGUGCAUGGUUGUCGUCAGCUCGUGUCGUGAGAUGUUGGGUUAAGUCCCGCAACGAGCGCAACCCCUACUUUUAGUUGCCAUCAUUAAGUUGGGCACUCUAAAGGAACUGCCGGUGACAAACCGGAGGAAGGUGGGGAUGACGUCAAAUCAUCAUGCCCUUUAUGUCCUGGGCUACACACGUGCUACAAUGGCCGGUACAGAGGGCGGCGAAGCUGUGAAGCGGAGCGAAUCCCAAAAAGCCGGCCCCAGUUCGGAUUGCAGGCUGCAACCCGCCUGCAUGAAGUCGGAAUCGCUAGUAAUCGCGAGUCAGCAUAUCGCGGUGAAUACGUUCCCGGGUCUUGCACACACCGCCCGU